AGCAGCAGCCGCGGGAAUACGUAGGAGGCAAGCGUUGUCCGGAAUUAUUGGGCGUAAAGGGCUCGCAGGCGGUUUCUUAAGUCUGAUGUGAAAGCCCCCGGCUCAACCGGGGAGGGUCAUUGGAAACUGGGAAACUUGAGUGCAGAAGAGGAGAGUGGAAUUCCACGUGUAGCGGUGAAAUGCGUAGAGAUGUGGAGGAACACCAGUGGCGAAGGCGACUCUCUGGUCUGUAACUGACGCUGAGGAGCGAAAGCGUGGGGAGCGAACAGGAUUAGAUACCCCAGUAGUCCCUGUCUCUUAUAC
This 303-nucleotide ribosomal RNA is filed under the name uncultured bacterium. Its description in RNAcentral is "partial 16S ribosomal RNA". It matches the Rfam family "Bacterial small subunit ribosomal RNA", at positions 507 to 807 of the family's 1533-position model. The record is from RNAcentral.